Molecule: ribosomal RNA, 253 nt
Filed under: uncultured bacterium
Lineage: Bacteria
Description: partial 16S ribosomal RNA
Rfam family: Bacterial small subunit ribosomal RNA
Source: RNAcentral
UACGUAGGGUGCAAGCGUUAAUCGGAAUUACUGGGCGUAAAGCGUGCGCAGGCGGUUAUGCAAGACAGAGGUGAAAUCCCCGGGCUCAACCUGGGAACUGCCUUUGUGACUGCAUAGCUAGAGUACGGUAGAGGGGGAUGGAAUUCCGCGUGUAGCAGUGAAAUGCGUAGAUAUGCGGAGGAACACCGAUGGCGAAGGCAAUCCCCUGGACCUGUACUGACGCUCAUGCACGAAAGCUAGGGGAGCGAACAGG